This 201-nucleotide unclassified non-coding RNA is filed under the name Hevea brasiliensis (rubber tree). The record is from RNAcentral. Lineage: Eukaryota; Viridiplantae; Streptophyta; Magnoliopsida; Malpighiales; Euphorbiaceae.
GCCAACAUUCCACCCCCUUUUCCAAAUUAUCCUCACCCACGCCCACAGUAUCUGCCCCCGACAAACUACCAGCCCAGACCACCUCUUCCUCCUGCUCAACCUAGACCACCUCAAAACAACCCGAGACCACCAAGAAACCCUGAUCCACCCCUUCCCCUCCCACUCAGCGAAAUAUACCGACACCUCGUCGGUGUAAACCAG